This 681-nucleotide ribosomal RNA is filed under the name uncultured bacterium. Its description in RNAcentral is "bacterial SSU rRNA". It matches the Rfam family "Bacterial small subunit ribosomal RNA", at positions 23 to 699 of the family's 1533-position model. The record is from RNAcentral.
CUCAGAUUGAACGCUGGCGGCAGGCCUAACACAUGCAAGCCGAGCGGAUGAAGAGAGCUUGCUCUCUGAUUCAGCGGCGGACGGGUGAGUAAUGCCUAGGAAUCUGCCUGGUAGUGGGGGACAACGUUUCGAAAGGAACGCUAACACCGCAUACGUCCUACGGGAGAAAGCAGGGGACCUUCGGGCCUUGCGCUAUCAGAUGAGCCUAGGUCGGAUUAGCUAGUUGGUGAGGUAAUGGCUCACCAAGGCGACGAUCCGUAACUGGUCUGAGAGGAUGAUCAGUCACACUGGAACUGAGACACGGUCCAGACUCCUACGGGAGGCAGCAGUGGGGAAUAUUGGACAAUGGGCGAAAGCCUGAUCCAGCCAUGCCGCGUGUGUGAAGAAGGUCUUCGGAUUGUAAAGCACUUUAAGUUGGGAGGAAGGGCAGUAAGUUAAUACCUUGCUGUUUUGACGUUACCGACAGAAUAAGCACCGGCUAACUCUGUGCCAGCAGCCGCGGUAAUACAGAGGGUGCAAGCGUUAAUCGGAAUUACUGGGCGUAAAGCGCGCGUAGGUGGUUUGUUAAGUUGGAUGUGAAAGCCCCGGGCUCAACCUGGGAACUGCAUCCAAAACUGGCAAGCUAGAGUACGGUAGAGGGUGGUGGAAUUUCCUGUGUAGCGGUGAAAUGCGUAGAUAUAG